CCGGUAAACGGCGGCCGUAACUAUAACGGUCCUAAGGUAGCGAAAUUCCUUGUCGGGUAAGUUCCGACCUGCACGAAUGGCGUAAUGAUGGCCAGGCUGUCUCCACCCGAGACUCAGUGAAAUUGAACUCGCUGUGAAGAUGCAGUGUACCCGCGGCAAGACGGAAAGACCCCGUGAACCUUUACUAUAGCUUGACACUGAACAUUGAGCCUUGAUGUGUAGGAUAGGUGGGAGGCUUAGAAGUGUGGACGCCAGUCUGCAUGGAGCCGACCUUGAAAUACCACCCUUUAAUGUUUGAUGUUCUAACGUUGACCCGUAAUCCGGGUUGCGGACAGUGUCUGGUGGGUAGUUUGACUGGGGCGGUCUCCUCCUAAAGAGUAACGGAGGAGCACGAAGGUUGGCUAAUCCUGGUCGGACAUCAGGAGGUUAGUGCAAUGGCAUAAGCCAGCUUGACUGCGAGCGUGACGGCGCGAGCAGGUGCGAAAGCAGGUCAUAGUGAUCCGGUGGUUCUGAAUGGAAGGGCCAUCGCUCAACGGAUAAAAGGUACUCCGGGGAUAACAGGCUGAUACCGCCCAAGAGUUCAUAUCGACGGCGGUGUUUGGCACCUCGAUGUCGGCUCAUCACAUCCUGGGGCUGAAGUAGGUCCCAAGGGUAUGGCUGUUCGCCAUUUAAAGUGGUACGCGAGCUGGGUUUAGAACGUCGUGAGACAGUUCGGUCCCUAUCUGCCGUGGGCGCU
Molecule: ribosomal RNA, 736 nt
Filed under: Escherichia coli
Lineage: Bacteria; Pseudomonadati; Pseudomonadota; Gammaproteobacteria; Enterobacterales; Enterobacteriaceae
Description: partial 23S ribosomal RNA
Rfam family: Bacterial large subunit ribosomal RNA
Source: RNAcentral